Long non-coding RNA from Bubalus bubalis (water buffalo), 1721 nucleotides. RefSeq lists it as uncharacterized. The transcript has 2 exons. The record is from RefSeq and is a predicted model, not a curated record. NCBI's taxonomy places the organism in Eukaryota, Metazoa, Chordata, Mammalia, Artiodactyla, Bovidae.
GGCAGCUUCAGGCCAGGAGCUGCAUAUCCAAGUUGCUUCCCUGUGCCAGGUUGGCACCCACCUCCUCCACCCCACCACCCCACCCCAACCCCAGCUGCUGUGAGUGUGAGCUGUUCUCAACUGACUCCUGAGAAUUGCCCCAGCCUACUGGAGCUGUCUGGCCAGAAAUGCUGAUUGUUUCCAGACAGGAGCAAUGAUCGGAUGAUACCGGAAUACAUCAGGCCAGUCUCUGUGCUUCAGGAAGGGACAAACUCCUGGUGCCAUUCAUACUCCCGAGCUCCUCGUGGGACCAGCUGAUGCGAGACCUCUGCCGAGCCCACCUGUUUGCCAAGCAUUCUCCCUAGCCCCUUACUUCCCUUCCCUGCUUACAUUUUCGCCUGACCGCCUCAGGCUCUGCUUCUAGGCAACCUGCCCUAAAAGAAUGGGGGAGCAAGGCUGCCUGUAACAGCGAGGGGAACAGACCAGAAGGCUCUACUGCCUUCCUGAGCCAGCAAACCACCCAGCCGUCCCCCUCAUUCAGCCCUCCCUGGCAUUCACUGGUUGCAAGGUGGCUGCUGCAUCUCCAGACAUCAAUCCACACUCCAGGCAGGAAGAAAGAAACAGAAAGCAAUGAGAAAACAAAGCUUUCCCAGAAGCAUCCAGCAGACUUCUCCUUUCGUCACAUCGGCUGAAAUUGUGUUGCAUGGACUACACCAGCUGCAAAGAACUAUAGGAUAUGUCUUAUUUGUUGAAAUCUGGACUCAUGACAGUGCUGUUGGUACAGGAAAAAACAAGAAUGACCAUACGGUAGGCAACUAGAAGUUGCUUCAAAGGCUUUCUCUGGACAAAAUUCUUCUAUCGAGAAGCAACAUUGGAAUAAGGUCGAUGCCUUAACUUGAGGGGGUGGGGGUCAGAUAGACCCCCCAACUCCAAGUCUUGCCUGACCCCUUCCUUUCCCAAAUGACUCUAGAAGAUACUCUUAAGCAAUCUGAGCUCCUGUUUGCUUGUUUCUUAAAGAGGAUAAAUGUGGUUUUCUCAAGGGUUUAUGGAGUGAUUAGAGCAUCUCCAUGCGAAGUAUCUUAAUACUGAGACACUCAAUUCUUCUCCUACUUCCUGUCAUUGCUCAUCAUGUGACAUGUUUCUAGUCCUUUCCUCCUGAACAUGCUCCCAGGAUCUGCUUUAAUGUCUUUUCCGAAGUGUAACCCCAGUGUGGAACGUAAAACUCUACUACGCCUCCAUGUGGAGCACAGUGGGGAUGCUUACCCUCCUUGCUUUGGGCAUCGUACUUCUUACUCAUGCUCCCUCAUGUCUCUGGUGGUCUUGUGAGCACAUGGUAACAGCAGAUCGGGGGAUCUUUGCAUUCACGUUUCCCACCUUGGGCUCUUGGCCCAUCAGCAGUAGACCAGAAGGAGCUAAUCAGGGACCUGCAUUCAGAGUCAGCUGUAUUAAAGCAGAGCCGGAUGCAGAAUUAGCAGGACCUCCAACUCCCUUCCUCAACCCUGCAGAACCCUGAUGAACCUCCAGUCACAGGCAGAAAAUCUGGAACCCAGGGAUCGAGGGCCUGGCUGGACCCAGCCAUGGAAGAGGACCUGCUUAAGCAGACUUAACCCAGAAAGCCCAAAGCUGGAGCUGCUCCCCCACCGCAGCUGACCAUUGCCCAUCCCAGGAGCGUCAUGCCAUCCCCAGACUAACCAAUCACUUUGGAGGAAAGCAAGAAGUGUGGUGAAGGAGGCUGCGGGAAG